This 357-nucleotide long non-coding RNA is filed under the name Capsicum annuum. RNAcentral's name for it is "long non-coding RNA (CANN_LNC004375)". Lineage: Eukaryota; Viridiplantae; Streptophyta; Magnoliopsida; Solanales; Solanaceae. The record is from RNAcentral.
GACAUUCCAAAGAUGUGCAUAUUAAGUAGUAAAUACAUAUUGAAGAAUUCGAAAAUUCUUCAUGAGUUUUUAAUGUUGCUUGUUCUCAUGAUAAGUUGGUUGAACCAACUAAUGUUGGGGUUGGGUUUCCUAAAUUAUGACAAGUAUAAAAGGUGAAUAUGACCCCGUUCACCCAUCAUGUGAUCUGUUAAGAAGCAUCAAUAUAAGAUGAUCACUUGUACGUUUAUUGUCAACCUGCAUUUUGACAUUCAUAAAGUUUCUUGCUCAAUGAAAUUGAGUUAAGAGCAUGACUUUCAGAUUGUGUAAUUAAGAUAAUUCAUCUUGAUGAUGAUGGUUUAGCAUCGAAUGCCUUCAAUA